CCCGCUGAACUUAAGCAUAUCAAUAAGCGGAGGAAAAGAAACCAACUGGGAUUCCCUUAGUAACGGCGAGUGAAGCGGGAACAGCUCAAUUUUGAAAUCUGCACUUUGUGCGAAUUGUAGUUUCAAGAAACGUUUUCUGAGACAGUCUGAAUUCAAGUGUGUUGGAAUGCGCCACCAAAGAGGGUGAGAGUCCCGUUGAAUUCGGAGCCUGUCUCUCUGUGAUACGUUUUCGAAGAGUCGGAUAGUUUGGGAAUGCUGUCCAAAAUGGGUGGUAAAUACCAUCUAAAGCUAAAUAUUGGCGAGAGACUCGAUAGCGAACAAGUACCGUGAGGGAAAGAUGAAAAGAACUUUGAAAAGAGAGUUAAAAGUACGUGAAAUUGUCAAAAGGGAAACGCUUGAAACCAGUAUUGCGUUGCAUAAAUCAGCCUUUCGGUGCAUUUUGUGUCGUGCGAGUCAGCAUCGGUUCGGUUUGGAGUACAAAGCUUUCGGAAGGUGACCCCUCGGGGUGUUAUAGCCGUUAGUAAUGCUCUGGUCUGGACCGAGGACUGCAGUCCUGCAUUGGGGAAAACUCCGCCUUUGACUGCCUGUUAGCAGACAACUUGUUGAUUGCGAGCAAGGUUGAUGAGCACGGUGUCGUACCUCUCUGGGCUUAGGAUGUUGACGAAAUGGUUUUAAACGACCCGUCUUGAAACACGG
Molecule: ribosomal RNA, 696 nt
Filed under: uncultured fungus
Lineage: Eukaryota; Fungi
Description: eukaryotic LSU rRNA
Rfam family: Eukaryotic large subunit ribosomal RNA
Source: RNAcentral